RNAcentral lists this transfer RNA (69 nucleotides) under bovine gut metagenome. It matches the Rfam family "tRNA". Rfam says of the family: Transfer RNA (tRNA) molecules are approximately 80 nucleotides in length. Their secondary structure includes four short double-helical elements and three loops (D, anti-codon, and T loops). The record is from RNAcentral. RNAcentral also lists the same sequence under 1 other name.
CGAGGUAGCUCAACUGGCAGAGCAACGGUUUUGUAAACCGUAGGUUGUGGGUUCGAUUCCCAUCCUCGG